AUACCUUUCUCGGCCUUUUGACUAAGAUCAAGUGUAGUAUCUGUUCUUAUUAGUUUAUGUUAGUGAAAAAUUAUAAGAUAAUAAAAUUACAAGAUUAC
Solanum tuberosum (potato) is the source of this 98-nucleotide non-coding RNA. The record is from Rfam. Lineage: Eukaryota; Viridiplantae; Streptophyta; Magnoliopsida; Solanales; Solanaceae.